GAUGAACGCUGGCGGCGUGCCUAAUACAUGCAAGUCGAACGGGGAGUAGCAAUACUCUUAGUGGCGAACGGGUGAGUAACGCGUUGGUACCUGCCCCGAAGCGGGGGAUAACGGACCGAAAGGUCCGCUAAUACCCCAUGUGCUCGGUAACGAGUAAAGGUGAAAACCACUUUGGGAGGGGCAUGCGUCCCAUCAGCUAGUUGGUAAGGUAACGGCCUACCAAGGCGGUGACGGGUAGGGGACCUGAGAGGGUGGCCCCCCACAAUGGAACUGAAACACGGUCCAUACACCUACGGGUGGCAGCAGUAGGGAAUAUUGGUAAUGGGCGCAAGGCUGGACCAGCAACGCCGCGUGUGCGAUGGCGGCCUUCGGGUUGUAAAGCACUUUUGACUGGGACGAGGAAGGACGGUACCGGUCGAAUCAGCCUCGGCUAACUACGUG
This 441-nucleotide ribosomal RNA is filed under the name uncultured bacterium. Its description in RNAcentral is "partial 16S ribosomal RNA". It matches the Rfam family "Bacterial small subunit ribosomal RNA", at positions 28 to 507 of the family's 1533-position model. The record is from RNAcentral.